GGUCAGACACAGUUGAAAGUAGAUUUAUUGUAGUUUUCAUUGGAAGUUUGAGAAUGAAAAACUGAACAUGAACUGAAGAUUUCCGAACUAUCCCGUCCAUCGUCAUUAACAAUUUACUCGCUUGCACAGCCGCUACUUCCACACAACGACAUUUUAGAUGUCACAGAUUUAGAUUGGACCACCGCUUGUAGCAUUGAAUAGGUCAAACAUGUCAUGAUAUAAACAGGAAGUACAAAAAUACUACAAGAAGUAAAAAAAUAUAUUUUAAAUUUGCAAUGGGAAAGACGGCUCGAGUGCUUCAUAACUUUCAUCGGCAAAUACAGUUUAUAAAUUGUCCGUGUUCCCUCAUACAAUCGAUACCUGCAUAUAUUUUAAAACUGACUGUAAAUAAAUAUUUAUUGAAUA
Long non-coding RNA from Dendroctonus ponderosae (mountain pine beetle), 405 nucleotides. RefSeq lists it as uncharacterized. The transcript has 2 exons. NCBI's taxonomy places the organism in Eukaryota, Metazoa, Arthropoda, Insecta, Coleoptera, Curculionidae. The record is from RefSeq and is a predicted model, not a curated record.